GCCCUUUUCCCUUACGAUUCCGGUGCAGAUGGGCAAAUUUGCAUCGGUGAAGACCCAAAUGAAAUUUGGCUAGCCGCUGGGGGCAGCCAGACCUUCACUUCCCAGAACCACCCAUGGCUCUACGGAGCGACAGACAGUGAAUCCUGGGUUUUCUGUGCCGAGAACCCCGAACACCGGAUACAGAUUACUUGCGACAGUUUCAGCGUUGGCUCGAAAGGCGUAACAUGUAUUGACGACUAUCUCGUUAUCUCCAACACUGACACAGA
Molecule: non-coding RNA, 266 nt
Organism: Penaeus vannamei (Pacific white shrimp)
Lineage: Eukaryota; Metazoa; Arthropoda; Malacostraca; Decapoda; Penaeidae
Source: RefSeq, a predicted model, not a curated record